GACGAACGCUGGCGGCGUGCUUAACACAUGCAAGUCGAACGAAGUGGCGAACGGGUGAGUAACGCGUAAUCAACCUGCCCUUCAGAGGGGGACAACAGUUGGAAACGACUGCUAAUACCGCAUACUGAAGGAGGGGAUUGCGUCUGAUUAGCUAGGUGGAUGGGUAACGGCCCACCAAGGCGAGGAUCAUUAGCCGGUCGUGUAAGAUGUACGGCCACAAUGGGACUGAGAACACGCCCAGCCUCCUACGGGAGGCAGCAGUGGGGAAUUUUUCGCAAUGGACGAAAGUCUGACGGAGCAACGCCGCGUGAGUGAUGACGGCCUUCGGGUUGUAAAGCUCUGUUAAUCGGGACGCGGUACCGGAAUAGAAAGCAACGGCUAACUACGUGCCAGCAGCCGCGGUAAUUC
RNAcentral lists this ribosomal RNA (408 nucleotides) under uncultured bacterium. RNAcentral's name for it is "partial 16S ribosomal RNA". It matches the Rfam family "Bacterial small subunit ribosomal RNA", at positions 28 to 526 of the family's 1533-position model. The record is from RNAcentral.